RNAcentral lists this ribosomal RNA (766 nucleotides) under uncultured Acinetobacter sp. RNAcentral's name for it is "bacterial SSU rRNA". It matches the Rfam family "Bacterial small subunit ribosomal RNA", at positions 42 to 799 of the family's 1533-position model. Lineage: Bacteria; Pseudomonadati; Pseudomonadota; Gammaproteobacteria; Moraxellales; Moraxellaceae. The record is from RNAcentral.
GCGGGCCUAACACAUGCAAGUCGAGCGGAUGAAAGUAGCUUGCUACUUGAUUCAGCGGCGGACGGGUGAGUAAUACUUAGGAAUCUGCCUAUUAGUGGGGGACAACGUUUCGAAAGGAACGCUAAUACCGCAUACGCCCUACGGGGGAAAGCAGGGGAUCACUUGUGAUCUUGCGCUAAUAGAUGAGCCUAAGUCAGAUUAGCUAGUUGGUGGGGUAAAGGCCUACCAAGGCGACGAUCUGUAGCGGGUCUGAGAGGAUGAUCCGCCACACUGGGACUGAGACACGGCCCAGACUCCUACGGGAGGCAGCAGUGGGGAAUAUUGGACAAUGGGGGGAACCCUGAUCCAGCCAUGCCGCGUGUGUGAAGAAGGCCUUAUGGUUGUAAAGCACUUUAAGCGAGGAGGAGGGUACCUUGGUUAAUACCCAAGAGUAUCGGACGUUACUCGCAGAAUAAGCACCGGCUAACUCUGUGCCAGCAGCCGCGGUAAUACAGAGGGUGCAAGCGUUAAUCGGAUUUACUGGGCGUAAAGCGUGCGUAGGCGGCUAAUUAAGUCGGAUGUGAAAUCCCCGAGCUCAACUUGGGAAUUGCAUUCGAUACUGGUUAGCUAGAGUAUGGGAGAAGAUGGGUAGAAUUCCAGGUGUAGCGGUGAAAUGCGUAGAGAUCUGGAGGAAUACCGAUGGCGAAGGCAGCCAUCUGGCCUAAUACUGACGCUGAGGUACGAAAGCAUGGGGAGCAAACAGGAUUAGAUACCCUGGUAGUCCACG